RNAcentral lists this long non-coding RNA (7252 nucleotides) under Zea mays. RNAcentral describes it as "long non-coding RNA (ZMAY_LNC002825)". The record is from RNAcentral. Lineage: Eukaryota; Viridiplantae; Streptophyta; Magnoliopsida; Poales; Poaceae.
AUGUAUCCACCAGGCAAGGCAGUUGGGAUGGCAGCUGCCCAUGAUGGUUAUGGGGCGUCAGGCAGGGUGUUAGUGCCCCGUUUCUAGGAAGUAGUAGGUCACGUUCUCUAUUGAGUCUUUUAUAUUCCAGUGAAUAGAGUCUGAAAAAGCUGUUCGUUGUUCACAGCACCAAAUCAGAGUGUCUCCACUUGUGUUUGUGUGUGUGCGCGAUUUUCUCUGCAACCUGCAGGGUGAGCUCGCCGGCAACAGGAGGUUGUUUCUCCGGCGAGGUCUGACACGUGGUAUCGGAGCCGAGGUUGGAGGAAGGUGACAAUGUCCCUGCCGCCGGAGCGCUCUAGGACGCCGCAGUACCGGCGAGGGCGUUCACCGCCGCGACGGACGCGGACUCGCGAGGUCGUCGUCGAGCGCGUUGUGGAGCGCGUCGUGGCGCCUGGAACGACCACUUAUCCGACUCUCACGAAGACGAACUACAACGAUUGGGCGUUACUGAUGAAGGUGAAGAUGCAAGCGCGCGGGUUAUGGGAAGCUGUGGAGAUCGGCGACGUCGACGACCAUCACGAUCGGAUGGCGCUCGACGUCAUCUGCAGCGCCGCGCCGUCGGAGAUGGUCUCCACCUUGGCCGUCAAACCGACGGCAAAGGAUGCCUGGGAAGCUCUGAAGACGCUGCGAAUCGGCGACGAACGCGUGAGGAAAUCGACGGCACAGAGGCUACGUCGCGAGUACGAGAUGCUCUCGUUCCGAGACAGCGAGUCGGUGGAGGCAUUCGCACUUCGGCUCACCGACGUCGUCGCGCAGCUCGCCAUGCUUGGUGACCCGGAGUCUCCAGAGAAGGUGGUGGAGAAGUAUCUUCGGAUCGCGCGUCCAAGGUACAAGCAGCUAAGCAGCUAGUAAUUUCUAUCGAGACUCUAUUGGAUGUCUCGACCCUCACGGUGGAGGACAUCACCGGCCGGCUGAAAGCGGCCGAGGAUGCUGACGAUGCACCACCACCUUCGACGGGGGGUAAACUGUACCUAACGGAGGAGCAGUGGGAGGCGCGGCGGAAGGAGCAGCAGAAGGGAGGAGACGCUGGCACGUCUAAAUCCGGUGACCGGCGGCGGCAUCCACGUCGCGGCGUGCCUGCGUCGAGCGGCAGAACAGGCACGGGACCCGGCCGCAAGCUAGGCCGUGACCAGUGCAGGAAGUGUGGGCAAACCGGCCACUGGGCUCGUGAUUGCAAGGCAAGGCCCAAGCAAGAGGCGGCCCACAUGGCCCAGGAGGAGGAGGCGCUCAUGCUGUUGAGGACCGCACCACUGCGUCGAUCCCCGCCAGCAAGGUCCGCGACUCCACCGCCGCCGGGAGGAUCCGCGACUCCACCGCCGCCGGGAGGAUCCGCGCCUCCACCUCUGCCCCCACCGGCCGGAUCCGCGCCUCCUCCACUGCCCCCACCGGCCGGAUCCGCGCCUCCACCACCGCCGGCGGGAUCCGCCACUGCGCCGCCACCGGUGUCUCCAGCCCCGUCGCGCACCUCAUCCCCGUCGAGCCCCUACUCUCCACCUCCGCAUGAUGAGGUCCUCGGCGCGCCCAGUGCAGUGGCGAGCUGUUCAUCGCAGGAGGCCACGGCGGCGAGCUCUGAUGGGCGGAUCCAGCUACAGGAGGGAAAGGUGUUCGUGCAGCUCGGCGCGAAGGAGCAGCGGGACCCUACGUCCUGGAUCUGCGACACCGGGGCCACGAACCACAUGACGGGGUCUCGGGCGGCGUUCGCGGAUCUGGACACGGCGGUGUCUGGGUCGGUGUGGUUCGGCGAUGACUCCAUGGCGGAGAUUGAAGGGCGCGGGACCGUGCUGUUCAAGUGCAAGAAUGGCGAGCAUCGCUCUUUCACCGGCGUUUACUACAUCCCGCGACUCACGGCGAAUAUCGUGAGCCUCGGCCAGUUGGAGGAGGCCGACUACGACGUCCACCUCCGGCGCGGUGGCAUGGAGAUUCGGGAGCCUGAGGGGCGACUGCUGGCAAGGAUCCCACGCGCAGGCAACCGGCUGUAUGUGCUCAACGUCGACGUGGCACGGCCGGUGUGCCUGGCAGCGCGCGGCGAAGAAAGUGCCUGGCGGUGGCAUGCCAGGCUCGGCCACAUCAACAUGCUGGCGCUGAGGAAGAUGGCGCGGGAGGAGCUCGUUCGUGGACUGCCAUCCAUCGAGCAGGUGGACCAACUUUGUGAGGAGAAAAUUGGAAUUCUGCCAUUAUCAAAUCUAGGAUUCGCUCGAAUGCCAUUAUGAGAACGUGCUUCGUUAAUACGCCAUUCUCAAACACUAGCUUACAGACAAAAUGUCAUUUAGGGGGUUAUUUGACAAAAUAUCAAUUGAUCGGACUAUUUUACCCCUAAACCAAAACUGUUGCAACGCUCCACCACGGCGAGCUCCACCGCCGUCAGGGCCUCCGCGAGGGGGACGUCGUGCUCCUCGCUCUGCCGAACUCCAUCGCUAGGGUUCGGGACACCAGCCCCGCCCUCGUGUUCGCCACGCCCGACAACGUCGAGAAGCUAUCGCCGUUGCGCGUCCCGGUCGUCCUCGUCCCCGACGCCUUCCACCUCGUGGGCGACGGCGCCCCCGAGUUCGCGCCCUUCCCCGAGUUGCUGCUGCUCGAUUCCGAGCCACUGUCGGGCCCUUCGGUACGCCAGGACGACGCGGCCGCCAUCCUCUACUCGUCGGGGACGGGCGGCCAGAGCAAGGGCGUCGUGCUCACGCACCGCAACCUCAUCGCCACGGUCGAGCUCUUUGUGCGCUUCGAGGCCUCGCAGUACGCCGCACCUGCUUGUGACAAUGUCUACCUGGCGGCGCUGCCCAUGUUCCACGUCUACGGACUCUCGCUCUUCGCCGUGGGACUUCUCUCGCUCGGUUCCAUGGUGGUCGUCAUGAAGAGGUUCAACGCAGGCGAAGCCGUUAAGGCCAUUCGCAGAUUCAAAGUCACGCACUUCCCGAUCGUUCCGCCCAUCAUGGCGGCGCUGGUGCACACCACCAAGCCAGCGGCAAUGCCGUUGGAAUGCUUGGUGCAAGUGUCAACCGGUGCAGCGCCGUCCAGCCGCAGGCUCAUCGACGAUUUCGUCAAGGCUUUCCCUCACGUCGAUCUCAUUCAGGUUCCUGCCUACCCCACUUACAGUCACGUCAUUCGUUCUUCCCUACCUUGCCCAAGUGUGUGUAUUCCACAUUGGUAUUACAUGCUCGUGAGUGCAGGUGUCGAAAUCAGUGGUACAACGUACAAGGUGCCCGUAUGGGGUGUUUGAGGAGCCGUGGGGAGCCGGCCAACACCAUGGUGGAGCUCGUCGUGGGCUCGCCGUCCAGAGAGCAGAGAGGAGGAGACAGAGAACGAGCGAGAGGAGACAGAAUAAGAAAAGGAGGAUGCAGAGAUGAGAUAGAGAACGCACAAAACAAAAUUGAUUGCAAUAGUUUUGGUUUAGGGGUAAAACAGUCCGAUCAAUUUAUAUUUUGUCAAACAACCCCCUAAAUGGCAUUUUGUCUGUAAGCCAGUGUUUGAGAAUGGCGUAUUAACGAAGCGUGUUCUUAUAAUGGCAUUCAAGCGAAUCCUAAGUUUGAUAAUGGCAGAAUUCCAAUUUUCUCACUUUGUGAGGCGUGUCUCGCCGGCAAGCAGCGACGGACGGCGUUCCCUGACCAGACACAAUGGCGGGCGGACCGCGCACUGGAGCUGGUACACGGGGACUUAUGUGGACCCGUGACACCGGCGACACCGAGCGGGAACACCUACUUCCUGCUUCUCGUCGACGAUCGGAGCCGCUUCAUGUGGCUGACGCUGCUGCGGUCCAAGGAUCGAGCGGCGGCUGCCAUCAAGGAGUUCCAGGUACGUGCAGAAGCUGAGUCCGACUGCAAGCUACUGGCGCUCCGGACGGAUCGUGGUGGCGAGUUCACAUCCAAGGAGUUCAUGGAGUACUGCGCGGCGGACGGCGUGCACCGGCAGCUGACAGCGCCGUAUUCCCCACAACAGAACGGCGUCGUCGAGCGCCGGAACGCCAUGGUGGCAGGCACAGCACGCUGUCUGCUCAAGGCAAAGGGGCUGCCGGCUUGGUUCUGGGGAGAGGCGGUGAACACUGCCGUGUAUCUCCUGAACCGGGUACCGACGAAGGCAGUAGAAGGCAAGACUCCGUUCGAGGCGUGGUACGGGAAGAAGCCGGCGGUACACCACCUGAAGACCUUCGGGUGCAUUGUCUAUGUCAAGAAUACGACACCGCACCUGAAGAAGAUGGAGGAUCGUGGCCGCAAGAUGAUUUUCGUCGGGUACGAGCGCGGGUCUAAGGCAUAUCGAGCCUACGAUCCGGCCACGAAGCGCGUGCACGUGACGCGCGACGUGGUCUUUGAUGAGUCCGCCCAGUGGGACUGGUCGGAGGGAGCUAAGACCGGCACUGGCGCGGAUCAUGGCGGCGACGACACGUUCACCAUCCAAUUUGGGGUGGUGGAGGGGCAAGGAGGUCUCCAGGCGGGGGCACCGGUGGCUGCUAUGCAGCAUAUGACGCCACCAGGAACGCCAGGGGAGGCCGGAGUAGCUUCUCCGGGUGUGCAGUUCGCCACACCACCUGCUGCGUUAGACGAAGACCUGGACGCCGACCACGACGACAACGCACCACUGCGGUUCCGAACAGUGGAGGACGUCACCGGAGCUGCGUCGCCACCUGGGUACGCCGUGCGCGUACUGUACAGCGAGCAACUCUUUGCAGUGAGUGCGGAGGAGCCUGGGUCGCUUGCACAUGCUGGGCAAGACCCAUGCUGGCGACGAGCGAUGGAGGAGGAACUACGCGCCAUAGAGGACAACCACACCUGGACACUCACUGAGUUGCCAUCUGGGCAGCGAGCCAUUGGGCUCAAGUGGGUAUUCAAAGUCAAGAAGGAUGAACACGGUGCUGUGGUACGGCACAAAGCACGGCUCGUCGCAAAAGGCUACGCUCAGCGCCAAGGAAUCGACUACGACGAGGUGUUUGCACCGGUCGCUCGCUUGGAAGCGGUACGGCUGCUGCUGGCGUUGGCGGCGCAGGAGGGAUGGCAAGUCCAUCACAUGGACGUCAAGACAGCGUUCUUGAACGGUGACCUCCAGGAGGAGGUGUAUGUGCAGCAAGCGCCUGGGUUUGCUCAACCUGGACAGGAACACAAGGUAUAUCGACUGCACAAAGCUCUUUAUGGUUUGCAUCAAGCUCCCCGUGCAUGGAAUAAAAAACUGGAUGAACAACUGGGUGUUCUGGGAUUUGUGAGAUGUCCAUCUGAGGCUGCUAUCUACUGCCGUGGAAGAGAUGCGGAGAGACUGGUUGUAGGUGUCUAUGUUGACGAUCUGGUGAUCACAGGCACUAGCAGCAGCAGCAUCAGGAAGUUCAAGACAGAAAUGACUAAGAUUUUUAAGAUGAGUGACCUUGGGUUGCUAUCUUAUUACCUGGGUAUUGAAGUGAGGCAGGAAGAAGCUGGGAUCAGGUUGUCUCAAGGAAGCUAUGCAAGAAAAAUUCUGGAGAAGUGUGGUCUAGAGGACUGCAAUCCCUGCACCGUGCCGAUGCAGCCUAAGCUGAAGUUGAGUAGGGAAAGUGAUAGUUCAAAAAUCAAUGUGACUGAAUACAGAAGCUUGGUAGGGAGCCUGAGAUACCUUGUGAAUACUCGACCUGACUUGGCAUAUUCAGUUGGAUAUGUGAGUAGAUUUAUGGAGGAGCCCCAUAUGGAUCAUCUUGCAGCUGUGAAGCAGAUCCUGAGGUACAUAGCAGGGACAAGAGAUUGGGGCCUGUUCUAUUCAAGGAGAAAUGGAGGGAGUGAUGAGCUCUUGGGCUAUAGUGACAGUGAUAUGGCUGGCGACUUGGAUGGCAGAAAGAGCACAUCUGGGAUCCUUUUCUUUCUUGGGAGGAGUCCAAUCAGCUGGCAAUCAACUAAGCAGAAGGUGGUGGCGCUAUCAAGUUGUGAGGCGGAGUACAUCGCUGCUGCUACUGCUGCAUGUCAAGCUGUUUGGCUGGCACGACUGCUUGCUGAAAUCAGGAACUCAGAGACAAGCAGACCUUUGCUAAGGGUGGACAACAAGUCCACUAUCUCGCUGAUUAAGAAUCCAGUGCAUCACGACCGGUCAAAGCAUAUUGAUACCAGAUUUCAUUUGAUUCGGGAGUAUGAAAAUUCAGGGCAAAUCAAGGUGAAGUUCAUCAGUACUGAAGAACAGCUGGGGGAUAUUCUGACCAAGCCACUCGGCAAAGUCAAGUUCCAGGAACUCUGCACCAAGAUUGGCCUAAGCCUAGUGUAAGUAGAUGCACAAGUCUUAGGAGGAGAAUUGUUAAAAUAAUCCUUGUGCUUUUAGCUGGUGUUUGUUUUAUUUUCUGUUAGCUGAAGUCAGUCGCACGGUCUGUUGUUGGCUGUGCGUGUAGUGGGCUCGGACGUGCGCGUUUUGUUCGCAUGGAGAGCGCGUACUGCGCCAUGUAUCCACCAGGCAAGGCAGUUGGGAUGGCAGCUGCCCAUGAUGGUUAUGGGGCGUCAGGCAGGGUGUUAGUGCCCCGUUUCUAGGAAGUAGUAGGUCACGUUCUCUAUUGAGUCUUUUAUAUUCCAGUGAAUAGAGUCUGAAAAAGCUGUUCGUUGUUCACAGCACCAAAUCAGAGUGUCUCCACUUGUGUUUGUGUGUGUGCGCGAUUUUCUCUGCAACCUGCAGGGUGAGCUCGCCGGCAACAGGAGGUUGUUUCUCCGGCGAGGUCUGACAGUGGUGUUCUGGGUGGCCGACAUGAUAGAGGAGGAGGAAGUGGAGGAAGAAGAAUGCAUAUUAGGGAUUUAGGAAAAUAGCCUUGGCUCUGGUGGCCCAGAGCACGGCAGAGGCUCUCUUGGGGCUGUAUUCCAAUAUUUAUAGAUAGAAGAUUACAUGGAUGCAUGUGCUACAAUCACGGAGGCACAGCCUAAACAGGAAUCAAGGUUUCCAUCUAUCUAUAGAUAGAUAACACCUUUCUAUGUUUAACACACACGCCAUAGCCCUCCGCGCGCGUCAAGCGCGGAGGAGCCAGCAAGCUGGUGGAGGUUUUAAUAAUAGAGAAUCCCCUGAACUACCUACCUGAUGCAUCUCUUUCCUCUCAAAGAAGAAAGAAAGAAAGAAAGAAAGUAGCAGAUCGCUUGUUGCUGCGUUUUUCAGGAGCUCACGACAUUAAUGCGCUGUAAUGUAGGGUGCUCCUCCUGGCCAAAUGGGAGCAAGCUAUCCUCGCAUGUUUCUGGUCCUCCUGCUGCUUCAUGGAGCCAGUGCUGCUUUGAAUCCUCCAACAGCAGGGCCAAAAUGGCAG